UGUCUUCGGACGCUGACGAGUGGCGAACGGGUGAGUAAUACAUCGGAACGUGCCCAGUCGUGGGGGAUAACUACUCGAAAGAGUAGCUAAUACCGCAUACGAUCUGAGGAUGAAAGCGGGGGACCUUCGGGCCUCGCGCGAUUGGAGCGGCCGAUGGCAGAUUAGGUAGUUGGUGGGAUAAAAGCUUACCAAGCCGACGAUCUGUAGCUGGUCUGAGAGGACGACCAGCCACACUGGGACUGAGACACGGCCCAGACUCCUACGGGAGGCAGCAGUGGGGAAUUUUGGACAAUGGGCGAAAGCCUGAUCCAGCAAUGCCGCGUGCAGGAUGAAGGCCUUCGGGUUGUAAACUGCUUUUGUACGGAACGAAAAAGCUUCUCCUAAUACGAGAGGCCCAUGACGGUACCGUAAGAAUAAGCACCGGCUAACUACGUGCCAGCAGCCGCGGUAAUACGUAGGGUGCGAGCGUUAAUCGGAAUUACUGGGCGUAAAGCGUGCGCAGGCGGUUAUGUAAGACAGAUGUGAAAUCCCCGGGCUCAACCUGGGAACUGCAUUUGUGACUGCAUGGCUAGAGUACGGUAGAGGGGGAUGGAAUUCUGCGUGUAGCAGUGAAAUGCGUAGAUAUGCGGAGGAACACCGAUGGCGAAGGCAAUCCCCUG
This 659-nucleotide ribosomal RNA is filed under the name uncultured Delftia sp. RNAcentral describes it as "bacterial SSU rRNA". It matches the Rfam family "Bacterial small subunit ribosomal RNA", at positions 75 to 731 of the family's 1533-position model. Lineage: Bacteria; Pseudomonadati; Pseudomonadota; Betaproteobacteria; Burkholderiales; Comamonadaceae. The record is from RNAcentral.